CAAAGCUUCGCUCGCGUGGCUGAAGUCGGUGGAUCUGGUGUGACACGACUCGUAGGGAAACAAUGCAACACAUGCAGUGCAUUUACACAACGGCGUUUUGCUUAUUACCGAGAAUAACUAAUAGCACAGAGCUGCCGGAGACUCAACCCGUCCCACAGCACCCCGCCCGUCACCGGGCUUGACGUGCUGCACGUUGUCCGUUGUAAACACGCGAGGCUCGUCUACGAGUUUCUGUUCGUGGCGCUACACGACGGCAGCGCUCAGAGGAACAUCCGAUCUCAGUAAGUGUGCAAACGUUAGCUGCGUCGGGCCUCCAGGACCAGCAGGUUUACUCAGUUAUACGACGUCGUAGCAUCCUCCAUGUGCCGCUGUGUGAGAUGGACCUCGGGGUAUUAUUAGUAUGUUGAUUCGUCAUCAUCUGAAGCGUAGUAGAUUACUAGGAACUAAAGAAGAGGAUACUACUGGGAAUUUGCAUCUGAUCGGCAUCCAUGUGAGCGAAGGCUUUAAUCCAUUAAAACUGUCACUUAUCUGAAGCCGGUACAAUACGUUUGACAUGGUAAAACAUUCAGCCAUGUUAAGAAAAUAGAGAAUAACAUCCUCGGUAAUGAGAGACCAGUCAUUUUGUUUUUGUGGGUUGUAAAACAGGCUGGCGACAAGUAUAAUUUAUAGACCCUAAUUAUUCAGGAGCCUUUCAUUGCUCAUCUAUUAUGGUUCUUGCACAAAUUAUAGGAACACAUUGCAAGAAAAGUAAUUGGUUAAAUAAAUAUCCGACUUCAUCUUGUUGUGGGAAGACAGUGUGUCGUGUUCCCGUAAAAAGAUCAACGAGGAUUAAGAGUGUUAGACACUAUUAUGUCUUGCAGUAACACACUUAUAUGGUAACACACACGCGCGCAUAUGUAGACAGAUGCUGCCGAGUGCACGUCCACUCCGCGCUGAUGACCUCAUGCGGCCCGACGCAACUCCAACUGCUGCCGGAGCAUGCUGCAUUCCCAACUCCAUUCCUCAAUUCCACUCAGACAUUCCUGCACAGUGUGGCGGGAAUGUGCAGCGUGGCGGUUUCAGGCAGAGUGAAGAGGUGAAAGGUCAAAUCGCUUACAAAGUCAGGAAAAUAACAAGAGGCCAGAGUCUCUGUGUCUCAGACUUCCGAGUGGCUCACGGUGGAGGUGAGAGAGAAGCCGCCUGGCACACAGCAGGAGAGACGGGGAGAGGAGAACUCACUUAGAGCAUCUCCACUCUCCCCCUUUCAGCUUUCACUCGUCUGUCUCUGUGUUGCAGCAAUAAGCACGGAGCGUGUAUCUAUUUAGAGUUUUAAAAACCACCUAUUAAAGCACGUCGCCUCUGCACUGUGACAGCAGGAUACUACGGGUCGUAUGAGAGUUGCAUACGUCCAAUUGGGGACGCUGGCCACAUGCAGUCGGGUACUGGGCAGGCUCUGGAGUUUGUGGGUGGCACACUGAGCCACAUCAAGUCGGCCCGAGGUUGGGCGGGGUCGACGUCAAUUGAACUUUUUGAAAAUGAAGUUGUAAAUGUGUCUUGCUCGUAACUCAUAACAAUGAACACAUGCCUUUAAUCCCAAAUAAAUCCGGCGGUACAACCGGCAGAUUCAAAGAGCAGAUGCUCAUUUUAUGUGCGACAUGUUUAGCUUACUGCAGUAAAGUAACGGGCACCGUGCAGUAAAAUCUAAAUGGGAUCAAAUCAAAAAUAGGAAGAAGUGUUGCUUAUGAUGAUUUAUGUCAUGUAGUCCUAACCUAAAAACUACUCAUUAGAGAUGCGGUCCGCAAUGGAGCGCGACCAAACUGAUGUGACUUCAUUUGAUUUAAUGCAACUGCUUCCAGAUGCAGAUGGAGGCCCGGGCGCGAUGAGCUCUCACAACAGAGGAGCACUUUGUCCAAAUCUCACGAGAGACAUCAUUUGUACUUUUCUUUACCGUUUUUAAUGGCUAGCACAACUUUCUGUUCAUUUCAUCCAACUUUCUCAUCCACAAGAUGACUAAUCCGUCAAAUAUUCCCUUGGGGAGAAGGGCCAUGACGUCAUGUGCUCUGUGUGUUGCUUGUUCAGGGCUUUGUUUUCUAGUCAUUACCACUUCAGGCUAUCCAACAGUAAGAACUUACUACUAAAUGACUAAAGCUUCGAACUCCUUGUUUAAUAAAGUUAUGUCUCCGGGCAGCGUGCACAAUCCCACACAGUAAGCAGAGUUUAGGCUAUUGCUUGGCAGUAAAAACACUCAUUUGAUAGAGUAGUUCCAGAUGCCUCGGUGGAUACGAGCCGGUGGGACUGUGUGAUCCAUAUUCCAAGCUGUACUUUGAGGUCGUUACCUAAACAGAUUAGAGCACUUCAGAUUGUUUGAACCUAAACAUCCCACAAACAAAAACUAUUUCCACCAACACAGAUUGCACAGAUUUUAAAUUCUUGACAGUCAAUCUGAAGGCGCCUGUAUUGUCAAGCAAUAAAUGGAAAUUUGGGGAAAUUCUCUUUUCCUUCUUGGUCCAAUCAGUCAUAUCGCCCAAAACAUAACCGCUCUGUGAUUGGUUCAACAGCCGUAAUGUGUGGCCUUUUCUCUCCAAUCAAACUGUUCUACAAAGUCUUCCUGAGCUUAAAAUGACUCUUGAUGUUCCUAUUCCUGCCCAAAAAUAACAUUGUAAUCUGAGUCGGACAACUCGAGGCCUGAAUAAUAAUAAUCAGUGCGUAACUAUUGCUAUUGUAGCUAUUGGUUUGAAGCUACAACUUCCUAGUCAACAGUAUAUCUGGACUAAGAUCACACAGAUUAAGGUCUGUUUUCUUAUUUUCUUCUCCGGUUAAAGUAUCAUGUUGUGCUCUUCCAUUUCCUGCAGCGAUCCUCUGCGUUCCCUCUGGUGUCCUCUUUGUUCCAGGCCUACAGCUCUCAGGGGGGAACACAGUGAACAGGCCCCAGCGUCAUAAAGGCCAGCUACAACAACAAAUGGAGUCUCUCUCGGCUGGGUGUGGCGGCCUGCAGAGCAACAGCUCGGCCCUGUUCCUCCUCCUGAGACCCGAACGACAGCUCACCCUCAGUUUCCAUAACUUGUUUUUAAAUCUUAAGACUUUUCUUUGCUCACUCAGGAUUGCUGUCCCUUCUAGGUUCUCUUAUUUGACUUUUUCUGAAUUCUACACAGAUUUCAUAAGAAUCCCUCAUAUUUCAGGUAUUGCUCUUAAACGGUCUUUGUUAAACAACUUGUAUAUUCCCCCCCCCCCCCCAACUCAUUUUCUUUCUUGUUCUGCUUUUCUGUUUAUUCUCUCACUUAAUCCGUCAGUGCCCUGCCUCCCUCUUCCUUUCUCCUCUUCCUCUCUCCCACUGUAUCUCAGCCCGGCCCCCAUUUCCCUCUGACACACUUCCUGUAAACUAGAGAAGGUCAUCAACACGUCUUCAGCCACACAACGUAAUACGAGUCAUGAACGUGUUUCAUAAAACUAAAUAAAGUUUGUCAUGCUUUUUUGAAUAACACGGAG
This is a long non-coding RNA of Pseudoliparis swirei, 3465 nucleotides long. RefSeq lists it as uncharacterized. The transcript is spliced from 2 exons. The record is from RefSeq and is a predicted model, not a curated record. Lineage: Eukaryota; Metazoa; Chordata; Actinopteri; Perciformes; Liparidae.